This 856-nucleotide small RNA is filed under the name Pan troglodytes (chimpanzee). Its description in RNAcentral is "retained intron". The record is from RNAcentral. Lineage: Eukaryota; Metazoa; Chordata; Mammalia; Primates; Hominidae.
GUAUUUUGGGGUUUGAUUUUGUUGUGUGUUUCUUUCCAUCAAACCCAACAUGACAUGUAAAUGCUUAUUUGGAUUUUUUUUUUCUGGAAAGUAGAUUCAUUUGGAGAAUAAUAUGUUUGUAUGUUUGAGUGAAUUUUAGCGUGAGAUGCUUUUUGCUGUAAAGUUGCCACCCUUUUAUUACCUAAUAAUUAAGACCCCCCCUUUUUUUUAUGAAAGUUAAUUUGUCCUUUCGACAUGGCUUAUCAGAUGCUAUUAAUGAACCACUAUUAAGACGGCAAGGCUGCAGUACCCAGGGCCCUGAUUACAGGAAUUAAAAUAGUGUGUGUUGGCUCCCUGCUGCUCCCCAGCAGGACCGCUCACUCAUAAUUCCUUUGCAUCUAGUCUCAGCAGGAGAAGAUUGACAGCAUUGCAGACCAUGUCAACAGUGCUGCUGUGAAUGUUGAAGAGGGAACCAAAAACUUAGGGAAGGCUGCAAAAUACAAGCUGGCAGCUCUGCCUGUGGCAGGUGCACUCAUCGGAGGAAUGGUAGGGGGUCCUAUUGGCCUCCUUGCAGGCUUCAAAGUGGCAGGAAUUGCAGCUGCACUUGGUGGUGGGGUGUUGGGCUUCACAGGUGGAAAAUUGAUACAAAGAAAGAAACAGAAAAUGAUGGAGAAGCUCACUUCCAGCUGUCCAGAUCUUCCCAGCCAAACUGACAAGAAAUGCAGUUAAAAACCAAACUUCAGUAUUAUUGGUGCCAACAUGUCUAUCCUGAGAACCUUUGCUGCUGUUGGACACUCCGUCACGUUUUGGAACACAAGUAUAUCAAGAUAGUGGCUACUGAUGUUCAAAUGGGAUUGAAGUGUGAUAAAUGGAUAUA